Molecule: ribosomal RNA, 804 nt
Filed under: uncultured bacterium
Lineage: Bacteria
Description: bacterial SSU rRNA
Rfam family: Bacterial small subunit ribosomal RNA
Source: RNAcentral
AGAGUUUGAUCAUGGCUCAGGACGAACGCUGGCGGCGCGCUUAACACAUGCAAGUCGAACGGGGCUCGGCCUUCGGGCCGGGUUCAGUGGCGAACGGGUGCGUAACACGUGAGCAACCUGCCCCUGUAUGGGGGAUAACCCUGGGAAACCGGGGCUAAUACCGCAUGCGCUCCCUGGGCUGAUGGCCUGGGGAGGAAAGCUCCUGCAAGGGAGUGUACAGGGAGGGGCUCGCGGCGUAUCAGCUAGUUGGCGGGGUAACGGCCCACCAAGGCAGCGACGCGUAGCCGGUCUGAGAGGACGACCGGCCACAUUGGGACUGAGAUACGGCCCAGACUCCUACGGGAGGCAGCAGUGGGGAAUCUUGCGCAAUGGGCGAAAGCCUGACGCAGCGACGCCGCGUGGGGGAGGAAGCUUUUCGGAGUGUAAACCCCUGUCAGGAGGGAAGAACGGCCCGGGGAGGAAAUGCCCUGGGUUUGACGGUACCUCCAGAGGAAGCACCGGCUAACUCUGUGCCAGCAGCCGCGGUAAUACAGAGGGUGCGAGCGUUGUUCGGAAUUACUGGGCGUAAAGCGCGCGUAGGCGGUCAUUUAAGUCUGCCCGUGAAAUGCCGGGGCUCAACCCCGCGCACGUCGGGGGAUACUGGGUGACUGGGAGACAGGUAGAGGCGAGUGGAAUUCCGGGUGUAGCGGUGGAAUGCGUAGAGAUCCGGAAGAACACCAGAGGCGAAGGCGGCUCGCUGGGCCUGGUCUGACGCUGAGGCGCGAAAGCGUGGGGAGCGAACAGGAUUAGAUACCCUAGUAGUCC